Molecule: non-coding RNA, 188 nt
Filed under: Clostridia bacterium
Lineage: Bacteria; Bacillati; Bacillota; Clostridia
Description: 6S RNA
Rfam family: 6S / SsrS RNA
About the family: E. coli 6S RNA was the first non coding RNA to be sequenced, but its function was unknown until recently. It consists of 184 nucleotides that fold into an extended hairpin structure with a large single-stranded internal bulge.
Source: RNAcentral
UUCAAUCUGCUUAAUUCGCGGACUGCGUUCAUAUAACCCUACAUUAUUAAAUCGGGAGCUCGGGUCCUGUAUUUGAUUGCAGACCUCUUGGCAUCGGCCAAACGAAGGGAGCGUGAAGAUAUGGGCAGGGCACCCACCUGCACGAAAUGCAGGUUAUUCAGAGCGCGAUACGAUUGAGCGGAUUUUUU